Molecule: ribosomal RNA, 504 nt
Filed under: uncultured bacterium
Lineage: Bacteria
Description: partial 16S ribosomal RNA
Rfam family: Bacterial small subunit ribosomal RNA
Source: RNAcentral
AUUGAACGCUGGCGGCAGGCCUAACACAUGCAAGUCGAACGGUAGCACAGAGAGCUUGCUCUCGGGCGACGAGUGGCGGACGGGUGAGUAAUGUCUGGGAAACUGCCCGAUGGAGGGGGAUAACUACUGGAAACGGUAGCUAAUAACGCAUAACGUCGCAAGACCAAAGUGGGGGACCUUCGGGCCUCACACCAGCGGAUGUGCCCAGAUGGGAUUAGCUAGUAGGUGGUGUAAUGGCUAACCUAGGCGACGAUCCCUAGCUGGUCUGAGAGGAUGACCAGCCACACUGGAACUGAGACACGGUCCAGCCUCCUACGGGAGGCAGCAGUGGGGAAUAUUGCACAAUGGGCGCAAGCCUGAUGCAGCCAUGCCGCGUGUAUGAAGAAGGCCUUCGGGUUGUAAAGUACUUUCAGCGGGGAGGAAGGCGGUGAAGUUAACAGCUUCACCGAUUGACGUUACCCGCAGAAGAAGCACCGGCUAACUCCGUGCCAGCCGCCGCCGUAA